UUCUCAAUGGGAUUAAGUCGCUCUGGAUAAGAGCGUCUGCUAAAUGACUUAAA
This is a non-coding RNA of Salmo salar (Atlantic salmon), 53 nucleotides long. The record is from Rfam. NCBI's taxonomy places the organism in Eukaryota, Metazoa, Chordata, Actinopteri, Salmoniformes, Salmonidae.